GGGGAAUUAGCUCAUCUGGCUAGAGCGUUAGACUGGCAGUCUAAAGGUGACGAGUUCGAGUCUCGUAUUCUCCA
Molecule: transfer RNA, 74 nt
Filed under: Chryseobacterium manosquense
Lineage: Bacteria; Pseudomonadati; Bacteroidota; Flavobacteriia; Flavobacteriales; Weeksellaceae
Also listed under: 1 other name
Description: tRNA-Ala
Rfam family: tRNA
About the family: Transfer RNA (tRNA) molecules are approximately 80 nucleotides in length. Their secondary structure includes four short double-helical elements and three loops (D, anti-codon, and T loops).
Source: RNAcentral